GUCCUUAUAUUUCACCAAUUUUCUUGCGAAGUCCUCAUGUUGCACCCAUUUUCUUUUUUUCAGAUGUGCCGUUCGAUGUUACGCGCAACUUUAAUUAUGGUCUGCAGAUUUGUUCACAAAUGUGAGUCACGGCGCCGUGGCAUUUUACUUGAUAUUUGAACGAGAACGACAGGUGCAGUGCGCACGCACAAAAAAGCAAAUGACGGGAGGGGGAAGAAAGGGGAAUGAGUUUAUGUAUUAGCAGCGCAAAAUUAAACAGUUGCCAUCAU
This 269-nucleotide long non-coding RNA is filed under the name Carica papaya (papaya). RNAcentral's name for it is "long non-coding RNA (CPAP_LNC015172)". The record is from RNAcentral. Lineage: Eukaryota; Viridiplantae; Streptophyta; Magnoliopsida; Brassicales; Caricaceae.